RNAcentral lists this ribosomal RNA (264 nucleotides) under uncultured bacterium. Its description in RNAcentral is "partial 16S ribosomal RNA". It matches the Rfam family "Bacterial small subunit ribosomal RNA", at positions 793 to 1055 of the family's 1533-position model. The record is from RNAcentral.
GUCCACGCCCUAAACGAUGUCAACUAGUUGUCGGGGAAGUUAUUCCUUGGUAACGAAGCUAACGCGUGAAGUUGACCGCCUGUGGAGUACGGCCGCAAGGUUAAAACUCAAAGGAAUUGACGGGGACCCGCACAAGCGGUGGAUUAUGUGGAUUAAUUCGAUGCAACGCGAAAAACCUUACCUACCCUUGACAUGUCAGGAACCUCGCAGAGAUGUGAGGGUGCCCGAAAGGGAACCUGAACACAGGUGCUGCAUGGCUGUCGU